AAAUUGAAGAGUUUGAUCAUGGCUCAGAUUGAACGCUGGCGGCAGGCCUAACACAUGCAAGUCGAGCGGAAACGAGUUAUUAGA
Molecule: ribosomal RNA, 84 nt
Filed under: Vibrio parahaemolyticus
Lineage: Bacteria; Pseudomonadati; Pseudomonadota; Gammaproteobacteria; Vibrionales; Vibrionaceae
Description: partial 16S ribosomal RNA
Rfam family: Bacterial small subunit ribosomal RNA
Source: RNAcentral